Molecule: ribosomal RNA, 465 nt
Filed under: uncultured bacterium
Lineage: Bacteria
Description: bacterial SSU rRNA
Rfam family: Bacterial small subunit ribosomal RNA
Source: RNAcentral
CCUACGGGUCGCACCAGUGGGGAAUAUUGCACAAUGGGCGCAAGCCUGAUGCAGCCAUGCCGCGUGUAUGAAGAAGGCCUUCGGGUUGUAAAGUACUUUCAGCGGGGAGGAAGGUGUUGUGGUUAAUAACCACAGCAAUUGACGUUACCCGCAGAAGAAGCACCGGCUAACUCCGUGCCAGCAGCCGCGGUAAUACGGAGGGUGCAAACGUUAAUCGGAAUUACUGGGCGUAAAGCGCACGCAGGUGGUCUGUCAAGUCGGAUGUGAAAUCCCCGGGCUCAACCUGGGAACUGCAUUCGAAACUGGCAGGCUAGAGUCUUGUAGAGGGGGGUAGAAUUCCAGGCGUAGCGGUGAAAUGCGUAGAGAUCUGGAGGAAUACCGGUGGCGAAGGCGGCCCCCUGGACAAAGACUGACGCUCAGGUGCGAAAGCGUGGGGAGCAGACAGGAUUAGAUACCCCCGUAGUC